This is a non-coding RNA of Podarcis lilfordi (Lilford's wall lizard), 74 nucleotides long. NCBI's taxonomy places the organism in Eukaryota, Metazoa, Chordata, Lepidosauria, Squamata, Lacertidae. The record is from the annotation of a GenBank genome assembly.
GCCUGGGUAGCACAGUUGGUUAGUGCAGGGUGCUAAUAAUGCCAAGGUUGCAGGUUCGAACCCCCCAUGGGACU